AAAGGUAUAGCUCAGUGGUAGAGUGAGUGCUUAGCAUGCAUGAGGUCCUGGGUUCAAUCCCCAGUACCUCCA
Molecule: transfer RNA, 72 nt
Filed under: Camelus bactrianus (Bactrian camel)
Lineage: Eukaryota; Metazoa; Chordata; Mammalia; Artiodactyla; Camelidae
Also listed under: 2 other names
Rfam family: tRNA
About the family: Transfer RNA (tRNA) molecules are approximately 80 nucleotides in length. Their secondary structure includes four short double-helical elements and three loops (D, anti-codon, and T loops).
Source: Rfam by way of RNAcentral